GCUGUGAUGGCCGAGCGGUUAAGGUGUUGGACUUUGAAAUCCAAUGGGGUCUCCCUGCGCAGAUUCGAAUCCUGUUCACAGCG
Molecule: non-coding RNA, 83 nt
Organism: Chiloscyllium plagiosum (whitespotted bambooshark)
Lineage: Eukaryota; Metazoa; Chordata; Chondrichthyes; Orectolobiformes; Hemiscylliidae
Source: the annotation of a RefSeq genome assembly